RNAcentral lists this ribosomal RNA (558 nucleotides) under uncultured Glomus. Its description in RNAcentral is "eukaryotic LSU rRNA". The stretch from base 156 to 309 matches the Rfam family "5.8S ribosomal RNA". The record is from RNAcentral. Lineage: Eukaryota; Fungi; Glomeromycota; Glomeromycetes; Glomerales; Glomeraceae.
GGAAGUAAAAGUCGUAACAAGGUUUCCGUAGGUGAACCUGCGGAAGGAUCAUUACUGAUUUAGCGAACCGAGCAUUAGCGAGGUUUUGCGAUCAAUUUAUAUUUAAAACCCACUCUUUAAUGUAUAAAAUUUGUAUUAAUGAUAAAUUAAAAGAUCACUUUCAACAACGGAUCUCUUGGCUCUCGCAUCGAUGAAGAACGUAGCGAGGUGCGAUAGGUAAUGUGAAUUGCAGUAUUCCGUGAAUCAUCGAAUCUUUGAACGCAUAUUGCACUUUCUGGUAUUCCGGAAAGUAUGCCUGUUUGAGGGUCAGUUAAAUAAAAAUCGGUGUUGUUGCUGCCUUUCGUGGUGACGCGUCGGAAUUGAGUUGUCUUACCUUCGGUUAAGUGACUUAAAAUUUUGUAUGAUUUUUGAACGUAUUUAAAUUUAUUUGUACGUUUGAGAUAUCGAAUGUUUAUUAGGUUCGGUCAUUCUAAUGACUCGCGCCUAUAGUUUUUCAUUAAAUGACCUCAAAUCAGGUAAGAAUACCCGCUGAACUUAAGCAUAUCAAUAAGCGGAGGA